Molecule: ribosomal RNA, 406 nt
Filed under: uncultured bacterium
Lineage: Bacteria
Description: partial 16S ribosomal RNA
Rfam family: Bacterial small subunit ribosomal RNA
Source: RNAcentral
AUUGAACGCUGGCGGCAGGCCUAACACAUGCAAGUCGAGCGAGCGGCGGACGGGUGAGUAAUGUCUGGGAAACUGCCUGAUGGAGGGGGAUAACUACUGGAAACGGUAGCUAAUACCGCAUACCAUCAGAUGUGCCCAGAUGGGAUUAGCUAGUAGGUGGGGUAACGGCUCACCUAGGCGACGAUCCCUAGCUGGUCUGAGAGGAUGACCAGCAACACGGGAAUGGAGACACGGUCCGGACUCCUCCGGUAGGCAGCAGUGGGGAGUAUUGCACAAGGGGCGAAAGCCGGAUGCAGCAAGCCCGGGUGUGGGAAGAGGGCCUUCGGGUUGUAAAGCACUUUCAGCGGGGAGGCGUUACCCGCAGAAGAAGCACCGGCAAACUCCGUGCCAGCAGCCGCGGUAAUAC